RNAcentral lists this microRNA precursor (194 nucleotides) under Oryza sativa Indica Group (long-grained rice). RNAcentral describes it as "MIR812 microRNA precursor family". It matches the Rfam family "MIR812 microRNA precursor family". Lineage: Eukaryota; Viridiplantae; Streptophyta; Magnoliopsida; Poales; Poaceae. The record is from Rfam by way of RNAcentral.
UUUAAACGGAACCAUGAGUUUUCUGUCUAACUUUGAUCAUCGUCUUAUUUAGAAUUUUUUUUUAUGAUUAGUGUUUUUAUUGUUAUUCAAUGAUAAAACAUAAAUAGUGAUUUAUGCAUGACAUAUUUUUUUAAAAAAAAUAUUUUUAAAAUAAAACGGAAGAUUAAAGAUGGAAUUCCAACUUUAAACGGACG